Molecule: ribosomal RNA, 460 nt
Filed under: uncultured bacterium
Lineage: Bacteria
Description: partial 16S ribosomal RNA
Rfam family: Bacterial small subunit ribosomal RNA
Source: RNAcentral
CCUACGUGAGGCAGCAGUGAGGAAUAUUGGUCAAUGGGCUUACGCCUGAACCAGCCAAGUCGCGUGAGGGAAGACUGCCCUAUGGGUUGUAAACCUCUUUUGUCAGGGAGCAACGCCGGCUACGUGUAGCCGGACUGAGAGUACCUGAAGAAAAAGCAUCGGCUAACUCCGUGCCAGCAGCCGCGGUAAUACGGAGGAUGCGAGCGUUAUCCGGAUUUAUUGGGUUUAAAGGUUGCGUAGGCGGAAUGCCAAGUCAGCGGUAAAAUCGCGGGGCUCAACCUCGCUCCGCCGUUGAAACUGGCGUUCUUGAGUGGGCGAGAAGUAUGCGGAAUGCGUGGUGUAGCGGUGAAAUGCAUAGAUAUCACGCAGAACUCCGAUUGCGAAGGCAGCAUACCGGCGCCCAACUGACGCUGAAGCACGAAAGCGUGGGUAUCGAACAGGAUUAGAUACCCGGGUAGUC